This 239-nucleotide ribosomal RNA is filed under the name uncultured bacterium. RNAcentral's name for it is "partial 16S ribosomal RNA". It matches the Rfam family "Bacterial small subunit ribosomal RNA", at positions 28 to 269 of the family's 1533-position model. The record is from RNAcentral.
GAUUAACGCUAGCGGCAGGCCUAAUACAUGCAAGUCGAACGGUAAAUAGGUAGCAAUAUCUAUGAGAGUGGCGCACGGGUGAGUAACGCGUAUGCAACCUACCUUUAACUGGGGGAUAGCUCCGAGAAAUCGGGAUUAAUACCGCAUAAUAUUAUCGAAUGGCAUCAUUUGAUAAUCAAAACUCUGGUGGUUAAAGAUGGGCAUGCGUGACAUUAGUUAGGGCGAGGUAACGGCUCACC